Sarcophilus harrisii (Tasmanian devil) is the source of this 913-nucleotide long non-coding RNA. RefSeq lists it as uncharacterized. The transcript is spliced from 3 exons. The record is from RefSeq and is a predicted model, not a curated record. NCBI's taxonomy places the organism in Eukaryota, Metazoa, Chordata, Mammalia, Dasyuromorphia, Dasyuridae.
UGCCGGCCAUGGCUCGGGCGGGCCUCGGCUGGGGCGGGGGACCCCCGACGUGGAGGCGGAGGGGGGGGGACGUGGGCUGCCGUGGGCCCGGAGCCCCACAGCACGGGCAGGAGCGGCGGCAGCGCCGGCCUCAUCCAGCGGCGGCGGCGGCGCAGCGCCGGCCCGACCCCGACCCCAACAGGGCCCCCGCGUGCACCGGGCUGCGUGCCCCUCCCCCUCCCGCUGUUCCCCCCUCGCCCCCCCCCCACCUCGUGCCCAAUUCCCUCUCCUGAGCAAGAGAAGUUGGGCGGGGGUGGCUGCUUCGGAGACCGGCCCCUCCCCCCACCCGUAGGCCCUCAAGGACGCCCUUCCCCCCACCAGGAGGAGGGGUCUGCUUUCACAGAUGCCCCCUCGUCUUCCCUCUUUGGCAGGGCGGGGGUCUUCCCGGGAUUCAGGUCCUGCCGAGGUUCCUCCCUCCCCUCCCCCAGACCUCAUGGUUUCCUCUCCUGGAAGGCCCUGCAAAGGGCUCCGGGUUGCAGCAAACCACCUCCCUUUGCAGAUGAGAAAACCCCAUCCGAGAGCUGGAAGGGUCCUCACGGGGCCGGCCCAGGAAACUGAGGCCCGGAGAGCUUAAAAUACUGGUCCAAGGUCACCCAAUGGCAGAGCCUACCACUUGAGAUGAGGUAUUCCAAGUCAAGUCAUUCCGCUUUAACAGAUGGGGAAACUGAGCCGAGGCAGAUCAAGUGUCCCAACUCACAAUGGCUCCAAACUGGCAAACCAGGAUUUAAAUCAGACCUCUCUCCGAAAUAAGAAAAUCCGUUCUCGACUCUCCCGCCCCCUCUGUUCCCUUUCAGUUCUGUGCCCCUCGGAUCAAAGCCAGGGAUUUCGUCCCGCAGGACGUGGGCACAAAGCGAUAGUCACAAAUUCUAGCACG